This 972-nucleotide non-coding RNA is filed under the name Elasmotherium sibiricum. RNAcentral's name for it is "12S ribosomal RNA". It matches the Rfam family "Bacterial small subunit ribosomal RNA". The record is from RNAcentral. Lineage: Eukaryota; Metazoa; Chordata; Mammalia; Perissodactyla; Rhinocerotidae.
CACAGGUUUGGUCCCAGCCUUUCUAUUGGUUAUUAGUAAAAUUACACAUGCAAGUAUCCGCACUCCAGUGAGAAUGCCCUCUAAAUCCCCACUUAACGAUUAAAAGGAGUAGGUAUCAAGCACACUAAACAGUAGCUAACGACACCUUGCUUAGCCACACCCCCACGGGAGACAGCAGUGAUAAAAAUUAAGCUAUAAACGAAAGUUUGACUAAGUUACACUAUAUUAGGGUUGGUAAAUUUCGUGCCAGCCACCGCGGCCAUACGAUUAACCCAAAUAAAUAGAACCUCGGCGUAAAGCGUGUCAAAGACAUAGACCUGCAAAAUAAAGUUAAAAUAGAGUUAAGCUGUAAAAAGCCACAACCAACAUAAAAUAAACUACGAAAGUGACUUCAAUAUAUCUGACACACGAAAGCUAAGGCCCAAACUGGGAUUAGAUACCCCACUAUGCUUAGCCUUAAACCCAAAUAAUUUAUUACAACAAAACUAUUCGCCAGAGUACUACUAGCAACAGCCUGAAACUCAAAGGACUUGGCGGUGCUUUAUAUCCCCCUAGAGGAGCCUGUUCCAUAAUCGAUAAACCCCGAUAAACCUCACCAACCCUUGCCAAUACAGCCUAUAUACCGCCAUCUUCAGCAAACCCUAAAAAGGAACCAAAGUAAGCACAAGUAUAAAACAUAAAAACGUUAGGUCAAGGUGUAGCUUAUGGGAUGGAGAGAAAUGGGCUACAUUUUCUACCCAAAGAAUACCAACUACCCAUACGAAAGUCUUUAUGAAACUAAAGACUAAAGGAGGAUUUAGCAGUAAAUCAAGAAUAGAGAGCUUGAUUGAACCAGGCCAUGAAGCGCGCACACACCGCCCGUCACCCUCCUUAAAUAUUACAAACACAGCUCAACAUAUUCCUAUGUGUUAAACAUAUAAAAGGAGACAAGUCGUAACAAGGUAAGCAUACUGGAAAGUGUGCUUGGAUAAC